RNAcentral lists this unclassified non-coding RNA (894 nucleotides) under soil metagenome. Its description in RNAcentral is "partial contains internal transcribed spacer 1, 5.8S ribosomal RNA, and internal transcribed spacer 2". The stretch from base 240 to 394 matches the Rfam family "5.8S ribosomal RNA". The record is from RNAcentral.
CACAAAUAUGAAAGCAGACCCUCAUUGGGGCGUAACGUCACGCCGUGUCCGCAAUAGCGUCAUUGCUGUUGUGCUGACGCGGCGGGGGGGUAACGCCCUUUUGGGCCAGUCUGACUCCAUAUUCACCCAUGUCUUUUGCAUACUACUUGUUUCCUUGGCGGGUUCGCCCGCCAAUUGGACCCCAAUUAAACCUUUUUUGUAAUUGCAAUCAGCGUCAGCAAAACAAUGUAAUAAAUUACAACUUUCAACAACGGACUCUCUUGGUUCUGGCAUCGAUGAAGAACGCAGCGAAAUGCGAUAAGUAGUGUGAAUUGCAGAAUUCAGUGAAUCAUCGAAUCUUUGAACGCACAUUGCGCCCUUUGGUAUUCCAAAGGGCAUGCCUGUUCGAGCGUCAUUUGUACCCUCAAGCUUUGCUUGGUGUUGGGCGUUUUUGUCUCGGGUCCGCCCCGAGACUCGCCUUAAAAUCAUUGGCAGCCGGCCUACUGGUUUCGGAGCGCAGCACAUUUUUGCGCUUUGUCCAGUCGUGGUCUUGCGUCCAUGAAGCGAAUAUUUUCAACGUUUGACCUCGGAUCAGGUAGGGAUACCCGCUGAACUUAAGCAUAUCAAUAAGCGGAGGAAUCGUAGCCUUGGUCAUUUAGAGGAAGUAAAAGUCGUAACAAGGCCUCCGUUGGCGAACCAGCGGAGGGAUCAUUACCGAGUUUACAACUCCCAAACCCAAUGUGAACGUUACCAAACUGUUGCCUCGGCGGGAUCUCUGCCCCGGGUGCGUCGCAGCCCCGGACCAAGGCGCCCGCCGGAGGACCAACCAAAACUCUUAUUGUAUACCCCCUCGCGGGUUUUUUUUAUAAUCUGAGCCUUCUCGGCGCCUCUCGUAGGCGUUUCGAAAAUGAAUCA